AAGUCUCAGCCAAACCAGUGCCGCAUUCAUCUUUUUCUUUCACUCUCUAGCCUCCUCUCCACUCCCAUUACAUUCUUCUUAGGUUAUCAACGUUGGACCCUUCUCUCUCAAUAUUGCAACGUCGUCGUCAUCUAACCCCGAAAUAUGGGUGGCUGCGGCUGCAGUUCCGGUUCCUGUUCUAGAGGAUUUUCCAGAGCCUCUGUAGUGGGCAGGUUUCUUUGGCAGAGGAUCAAAGAUUAAGCAUUCAUGUUUGGAAUGGGAGGCGUUGGCAAGAUGUGUUGAUCACCUGUGUAUUGGUGUCUUUACGGUUCUUUCGCAAGUGUUUUUUGUUUAUUGAAUAUUUUGAAUGCGUGUUAGAACAUCUUUUUCAAGCACCAUACAUGGAUGUGCUUUCAAUAAGUGGUAUUGCUCUGAAGUACAUCAGAACAGCCCUGAAUAUGGUGAAAGGAGGGGAAAUGCUGGAGGACAAGGAGAGGAGAAGGAAGGAUUUUCCAGGGCUUCUGUAGUGGGCAGGUUUCUUUGGCAGAAUAUCACAGAUUAAGUAAAUUCAUAUUUGGAAUGGGAGGCAUUGGCAAGAAGUACUGUGAUUCAAGGGCAGUUUUUUCGGUACCUUGUGCUGUCCAGCAUUGUUAUUGAUGCGCGAAGUGUAAUGUGGUUAAUUAGGUUUCUGUGUGGUUUUUGAGAAAGGAAGGAGUAGAAAGUUAAACUAGUAAGAAACAAAUUUAUAACUUCAUACUGUGUGUAUAUUAACUAAAUGUUAUAAAUGGCUGUGUUUGGCGACUUAAUGCUUGUUAUGAGAGCUUGUUUUGUACACAAUUUCAGAGGACUUGAGGUUUAGAGUCUAGGCUUUAUGUAUCGUCUUAUUGCUGGUUUAUGUAUCAUAUUAUUGCAGACUUGAAGUUCAAAUAGGUUAUCAGAAUUGAGU
This is a long non-coding RNA of Rosa rugosa (rugosa rose), 925 nucleotides long. RefSeq lists it as uncharacterized. The transcript has 6 exons. The record is from RefSeq and is a predicted model, not a curated record. Lineage: Eukaryota; Viridiplantae; Streptophyta; Magnoliopsida; Rosales; Rosaceae.